Molecule: ribosomal RNA, 497 nt
Filed under: uncultured bacterium
Lineage: Bacteria
Description: partial 16S ribosomal RNA
Rfam family: Bacterial small subunit ribosomal RNA
Source: RNAcentral
GAUGAACGCUGGCGGCGUGCCUAAUACAUGCAAGUCGAGCGAACAGACGCGGAGCUUGCUCCUCUGACGUGAGCGGCGGACGGGUGAGUAACACGAGGAUAACCUACCUAUCAGACUGGGAUAACUUCGGAAAACCGGAGCUAAUACCGGAUAAUAUAUUGAACCGCAUGGUUCAAUAGUAAAAGACGGUGUUGCGGUCACUUAUAGAUGGAUCCGCGCCGCAUUAGCUAGUUGGUAAGGUAACGGCUUACCAAGGCAACGAUGCGUGGCCGACCUGAGAGGGUGAUCGGCCACACUGGAACUGAGACACGGUCCAGACGCCUACGGGAGGCAGCAGUAGGGAAUCUUCCGCAAUGGGCGAAAGCCUGACGGAGCAACGCCGCGUGAGUGAUGAAGGUCUUCGGAUCGUAAAACUCUGUUAUUAGGGAAGAACAAAUGUGUAAGUAACUAUGCACGUCUUGACGGUACCUAAUCAGAAAGCCACGGCUAACUACGUG